AUUGAACGCUGGCGGCAUGCCUUACACAUGCAAGUCGAACGGUAACAGGUCUUCGGAUGCUGACGAGUGGCGAACGGGUGAGUAAUACAUCGGAACGUGCCUAGUCGUGGGGGAUAACUACUCGAAAGAGUGGCUAAUACCGCAUGAGAUCUACGGAUGAAAGCAGGGGAUCGCAAGACCUUGUGCUACUAGAGCGGCCGAUGGCAGAUUAGGUAGUUGGUGGGAUAAAAGCUUACCAAGCCGACGAUCUGUAGCUGGUCUGAGAGGACGAUCAGCCACACGGGGCCUGAGACACGGCUCAGACUCCUACGGGAGGCAGCAGUGGAGAAUUUUGGACAAGGGGCGAAAGCCUGAUCCAGCAAUGCCGCGUGCAGGAUGAAGGCCUUAGGGUUGUAAACUGCUUUUGUACGGAACGAAAAGGCAUGGGUUAAGACCCUGGGGUCAUGACGGUACCGUAAGAAUAAGCACCGGCUAACUACGUGCCAGCCGCCGCCGUAA
RNAcentral lists this ribosomal RNA (498 nucleotides) under uncultured bacterium. RNAcentral's name for it is "partial 16S ribosomal RNA". It matches the Rfam family "Bacterial small subunit ribosomal RNA", at positions 30 to 523 of the family's 1533-position model. The record is from RNAcentral.